Long non-coding RNA from Arvicola amphibius (Eurasian water vole), 445 nucleotides. RefSeq lists it as uncharacterized. The record is from RefSeq and is a predicted model, not a curated record. The transcript is spliced from 2 exons. Lineage: Eukaryota; Metazoa; Chordata; Mammalia; Rodentia; Cricetidae.
GUUGUGUUUAUUUCUGAAACAGUCUCAUCCUUCCCAGGCUGGACUCAAGCUCCCUACUGUCGCUAAGAAUGACGUUGAACUCCGGAUCACCCUGCUUCUCCCAAGGGAUGGGAUCACAAUUCUCUCCAUGUGGGACAAAGCCAGAAGGUACCAGGCCUUCACUAGAGGUUGCACCUGCCUGCAGACAUCUUCUUCUGGGGCUUCCUAGAUCUUCAAGCCCUGAGAAAUGACGCCAUUUACAAAGCACGCCUGGAUGCGGAGCCCAGGUGUAUCGACAGGCUUCCAUUGUACGGUUGAGUAGUGUCCCACAUCACACACGCUGGAACUUGCUUAUGCUUUCCCACUGGAGUGACACACAGAUGUGCUAUCAAUGUUUAUAUACAGACUUCUGUGUCAAAACAAGUUCUAAUUUCCCUGGAAUAAAUAAACCAAAGUAUAAUCGCUA